RNAcentral lists this ribosomal RNA (433 nucleotides) under uncultured bacterium. RNAcentral's name for it is "partial 16S ribosomal RNA". It matches the Rfam family "Bacterial small subunit ribosomal RNA", at positions 29 to 507 of the family's 1533-position model. The record is from RNAcentral.
AACGAACGCUGGCGGCAUGCCUAACACAUGCAAGUCGAACGAGACCUUCGGGUCUAGUGGCGCACGGGUGCGUAACGCGUGGGAACCUGCCCUUAGGUUCGGAAUAACUCCCCGAAAGGUGUGCUAAUACCGGAUCAUGUCUUCGGACCAAAGAUUUAUCGCCUUUGGAUGGGCCCGCGUUGGAUUAGCUAGUUGGUAGGGUAAAAGCCUACCAAGGCGACGAUCCAUAGCUGGUCUGAGAGGAUGAUCAGCCACACUGGGACUGAGACACGGCCCAGACUCCUACGGGAGGCAGCAGUGGGGAAUAUUGGACAAUGGGCGAAAGCCUGAUCCAGCAAUGCCGCGUGAGUGAUGAAGGCCUUAGGGUUGUAAAGCUCUUUUACCCGGGAUGAUAAUGACAGUACCGGGAGAAUAAGCUCCGGCUAACUCCGUG